RNAcentral lists this ribosomal RNA (253 nucleotides) under uncultured bacterium. Its description in RNAcentral is "partial 16S ribosomal RNA". It matches the Rfam family "Bacterial small subunit ribosomal RNA", at positions 524 to 776 of the family's 1533-position model. The record is from RNAcentral.
AACGUAGGUACCAAGCGUUAUCCGGAUUUACUGGGCGUAAAGCGCGUUCAGGCGGUUGGACAAGUCGGGCAUGAAAUCUCUCGGCUCAACCGGGAGAGGUUGUCCGAUACUGUCGAACUGAAGGGCAGUAGAGGGUGGUGGAAUUCCGGGUGUAGUGGUGAAAUGCGUAGAGAUCCGGAGGAACACCAGUGGCGAAAGCGGCCACCUGGACUGUACCUGACGCUGAAACGCGAAAGCUAGGAGAGCGAACAGG